RNAcentral lists this ribosomal RNA (392 nucleotides) under uncultured bacterium. RNAcentral's name for it is "bacterial SSU rRNA". It matches the Rfam family "Bacterial small subunit ribosomal RNA", at positions 359 to 768 of the family's 1533-position model. The record is from RNAcentral.
GAAUAUUGGACAAUGGGGGAAACCCUGAUCCAGCAAUGCCGCGUGAGUGAAGAAGGCCUUAGGGUUGUAAAGCUCUUUCGCCCGCGAAGAUAAUGACGGUAGCGGGAGAAGAAGCCCCGGCUAACUCCGUGCCAGCAGCCGCGGUAAUACGGAGGGGGCUCGCGUUGUUCGGAAUUACUGGGCGUAAAGCGUACGUAGGCGGAUGCGCAAGUUGGGGGUGAAAUCCCGGGGCUUAACCUCGGAAUUGCCCUCAAAACUGCACGACGUGAGACCGAGAGAGGUGAGGGGAAUUCCUAGUGUGGAGGUGAAAGUCGUAGAUAGUAGGAAGAACACCAGUGGCGAAGGCGCCUUACUGGCUCGGUACUGACGCUGAGGUACGAAAGCGUGGGGAG